UCGAGAGACGCUAAAAAAUCGCUUACCUCGCCUUGACCGGAGUUUGAACAUCGGACUAGCUCCGAUCUAGUAUUUAAAACUUCUCUUUGCAUGAUUUGAUGUUACUAUCUUGUGCAUGUCGCCUCAUAGAGUGUAAAUCAUAUGAUUAUCGCAUGAAAUCUCUAUUGCCAUGGACUCGAUUCUAGGUUGAAAACUUAGGUUUCUGGUUGUUGUUGUUUUCCGAUUUGGCUCUUUGGAUUUUUCUUUGGUUUGUAAAUCUACUUGUUUAAAUCCGGGUUUAUGAAUGAUUGUUUGGUUAGGAGUUUUGAUAUGGUUUCCGAGUCUAGCGACGGCGCCGCCAUGGCAGUGCAAAGAUGUCGUAGAGUUACGCCAUUACCAAUUUGCUUGUUUCAAAUGUUGAGUUUGGUCUUAGGAUAAAAAAGAGAAAAAAAUAAAAUAGUGGGAUGGGAAGGAUGAUUAACGUGAGGGAGAGAUGUAUACAAGUUUUCUAUUUGGUUUAUGUUGCAUUUCUUCUAAAAUCUUCAUUUAAGAGUUGUGAUGGAAAGUGAUGGAUGAAUCAGAU
Molecule: long non-coding RNA, 562 nt
Filed under: Lathyrus oleraceus (garden pea)
Lineage: Eukaryota; Viridiplantae; Streptophyta; Magnoliopsida; Fabales; Fabaceae
Description: Pisum sativum (pea) long non-coding RNA (PSAT_LNC000417)
Source: RNAcentral